Molecule: ribosomal RNA, 429 nt
Filed under: Bacillota bacterium
Lineage: Bacteria; Bacillati; Bacillota
Description: Firmicutes bacterium partial 16S ribosomal RNA
Rfam family: Bacterial small subunit ribosomal RNA
Source: RNAcentral
UAGGGAAUCUUCGGCAAUGGACGGAAGUCUGACCGAGCAACGCCGCGUGAGUGAAGAAGGUUUUCGGAUCGUAAAGCUCUGUUGUUAGAGAAGAACGUUGGUAGGAGUGGAAAAUCUACCAAGUGACGGUAACUAACCAGAAAGGGACGGCUAACUACGUUCCAGCAGCCGCUGUAAUACGUAGGUCCCGAGCGUUGUCCGGAUUUAUUGGGCGUAAAGCGAGCGCAGGCGGUUCUUUAAGUCUGAAGUUAAAGGCAGUGGCUUAACCAUAGGACGCUUUGGAAACUGGAGGACUUGAGUGCAGAAGGGGAGAGUGGAAUUCCAUGUGUAGCGGUGAAAUGCGUAGAUAUAUGGAGGAACACCGGUGGCGAAAGCGGCUCUCUGGUCUGUAACUGACGCUGAGGCUCGAAAGCGGGGGGAGCAAACAGG